Molecule: long non-coding RNA, 1077 nt
Organism: Bombyx mori (domestic silkworm)
Lineage: Eukaryota; Metazoa; Arthropoda; Insecta; Lepidoptera; Bombycidae
Exons: 2
Source: RefSeq, a predicted model, not a curated record
UUACAUGUUUAUCUUUCGAAAGUAAAUCGCUAUAAUUUAAUAAUUGUUUCUCUUCAUAUUGGCAUAUUGUAGCAGUGAUGAUAGUGAUAUGGAAUUAUUUCAAAUGAUAAUGGAUUGUGAUGCAGAUAGUGAUAGUGAGGCCGAUAUCAUAUGGUUAGGAAAAUAAAGAUCGUCUGAAUUACAUGGCGAAGAUCAAUAAUUACGAAUUUGACUAUAGAUUUCUGAGCAAAGGUGUUGUGAAUGAAUUGAUUAAUUUAAUGAGACCAUAUUUGAGUGUAACGUCAAAAAGAUUCAAAUAUAGGAGAGGAAUUUAGAAAUAGAAAAAGAGUAUUUUGAAUGUGCAAUUUGUGUGCAAUGCAUCAUUGAUGUUUCAAAAUGUUGUUGCUUGAUGGCCUGGGUCUACUCAUGAUACAACUAUAAUUAACCAUUCCGAUUGAAAAGGUAUUUCUUAUUUAUAUUAUUAUUAUUAUAUAUUAUUAUUAUAUUUUUAUUUAUUUAUAUUAUAUAUUUAGGUGUUUAUAUGAAUUUAAUAUGACACUAUUAUAAUAAAUUAUCUACAUAUCAAGAGAACAUUGAUAACAAGGUGGACUUGGAAAUUGCUAUUUGCUUGCCGAUAGAGGCUAUCCCCACAACCCUAUCUUUUAACGUGAUUAAUUAACCCACAUACUCAAUCGGAACGAUUUAAAAUGAAUCACAUAUUAAAACAAGAAAUACUAUAGAGAGGUAAUCUUUUUUUUUAGUUAAGAGCUUGUUAUACUGUAUUGUAAAAUAAUUUAAGCGAAUAAUGUAUAAUUUUCAGAUGCAUUGGUGUUUGUAAAAGAAGACUCCCUGUAUAUCAUUGAAAAGUAGAUUAAAACUAGAAAAUAUGCAACCUGUUAUUAUAGCUGCCAUGCUGCAUAAUAUCGUCAGAAGUAUGAAUUUAGAAGAAUUAGAAUCAGAAAUUUCAGUCGCAGAUACAUUACAGGAAAAUAAUAUAAUUGUUCGUAACAAUUUUUCAAAACUUACAUCUGAAAUACAACUAUGUACUUAUAAAUAAUUGCUUCCAAAGAUAAUUUAUAAAAUAAACUCCAAAGAUAA